RNAcentral lists this ribosomal RNA (499 nucleotides) under uncultured bacterium. RNAcentral's name for it is "bacterial SSU rRNA". It matches the Rfam family "Bacterial small subunit ribosomal RNA", at positions 899 to 1397 of the family's 1533-position model. The record is from RNAcentral.
ACUCAAAGGAAUUGACGGGGGCCCGCACAAGCGGUGGAGCAUGUGGUUUAAUUCGAUGCAACGCGAAGAACCUUACCAAGAUUUGACAUGGAAAUGACAGACCUAGAGAUAGGUACUCCCUUCGGGGCAUUUCACACAGGUGGUGCAUGGUUGUCGUCAGCUCGUGUCGUGAGAUGUUGGGUUAAGUCCCGCAACGAGCGCAACCCUUACCCUUAGUAGCUACCGGGUGAAGCCGGGCACUCUAAGGGGACUGCCGUGGAUAACACGGAGGAAGGCGGGGAUGAGGUCAAAUCAUCAUGCCCUUUAUGUCUUGGGCAACACACGUGCUACAAUGGCUACAACAAAGUGAAGCAAGCUAGUGAUAGCAAGCCAACCACAAAAAAGUAGUCUCAGUUCGGAUUGAAGUCUGCAACUCGACUUCAUGAAGCUGGAAUCGCUAGUAAUCGCGGAUCAGCAUGCCGCGGUGAAUACGUUCCCGGGCCUUGCACACACCGCCCGU